AGCGAACGUUUGCGGCGGGCUUAACACAUGCAAGUCGAACGAGAAUCCCUUCGGGGAGGAAAGUGGCGCACGGGUGCGUAACACGUGGAUAACCAACCCAUUGGUUUGGGACAACACCGGGAAACUGGUGCUAAUACUAGAUGUGUCGCAGCUGUCUUCAGGCGGUUGCGAGAAAGGCCCGCAAGGGUCGCCAACGGACGGGUCCGCGUCCCAUCAGCUAGUUGGUGAGGUAAUGGCUCACCAAGGCAAAGACGGGUAGCUGGUCUGAGAGGAUGAUCAGCCACACUGGAACUGAGACACGGUCCAGACUCCUACGGGAGGCAGCAGUGGGGAAUAUUGCGCAAUGGGCGAAAGCCUGACGCAGCCACGCCGCGUGAGCGAUGAAGGUCUUCGGAUCGUAAAGCUCUGUGGGGGGAGAAGAAGAAAGCCGGUGAAGAGCCGGCCCUGACGGUAUCCCCUUAGCAAGCACCGGCUAACUCCGUGCCAGCAGCCGCCGGUAAAGU
RNAcentral lists this ribosomal RNA (503 nucleotides) under uncultured bacterium. RNAcentral describes it as "bacterial SSU rRNA". It matches the Rfam family "Bacterial small subunit ribosomal RNA", at positions 29 to 526 of the family's 1533-position model. The record is from RNAcentral.